RNAcentral lists this ribosomal RNA (499 nucleotides) under uncultured bacterium. RNAcentral describes it as "partial 16S ribosomal RNA". It matches the Rfam family "Bacterial small subunit ribosomal RNA", at positions 355 to 848 of the family's 1533-position model. The record is from RNAcentral.
UGAGGAAUAUUGGACAAUGGGUGAGAGCCUGAUCCAGCCAUCCCGCGUGAAGGACGACCGCCCUAUGGGUUGUAAACUUCUUUUAUACUGGGAUAAACCUACCCUCGUGAGGGUAGCUGAAGGUACAGUAUGAAUAAGCACCGGCUAACUCCGUGCCAGCAGCCGCGGUAAUACGGAGGGUGCAAGCGUUAUCCGGAUUUAUUGGGUUUAAAGGGUCCGUAGGCGGGCUCGUAAGUCAGUGGUGAAAUCUCAUAGCUUAACUAUGAAACUGCCAUUGAUACUGCGGGUCUUGAGUAAAAGUAGAAGUGGCUGGAAUAAAGUAGUGUAGCGGUGAAAAUGCAUAGAUAUUACUUAGAACACCAAUUGCGAAGGCAGGUCACUAUGUUUUAAACUGACGCUGAUGGACGAAAAGCGUGGGGAGCGAACAGGAUUAGAUACCCUGGUAGUCCACGCCGUAAAACGAUGCUAACUCGUUUUUGGGUUUUCGGAUUCAGAGACU